This 612-nucleotide ribosomal RNA is filed under the name uncultured bacterium. RNAcentral describes it as "bacterial SSU rRNA". It matches the Rfam family "Bacterial small subunit ribosomal RNA", at positions 338 to 941 of the family's 1533-position model. The record is from RNAcentral.
CCUACGGGAGGCAGCAGUAGGGAAUCUUCCGCAAUGGACGAAAGUCUGACGGAGCAACGCCGCGUGAACGAUGAAGGCCUUCGGGUCGUAAAGUUCUGUUGUUAGGGAAGAACAAGUGCUAGUUAAAUAAGCUGGCACCUUGACGGUACCUAACCAGAAAGCCACGGCUAACUACGUGCCAGCAGCCGCGGUAAUACGUAGGUGGCAAGCGUUGUCCGGAAUUAUUGGGCGUAAAGCGCGCGCAGGCGGUUUCUUAAGUCUGAUGUGAAAGCCCCCGGCUCAACCGGGGAGGGUCAUUGGAAACUGGGAAACUUGAGUGCAGAAGAGGAAAGUGGAAUUCCAAGUGUAGCGGUGAAAUGCGUAGAGAUUUGGAGGAACACCAGUGGCGAAGGCGACUUUCUGGUCUGUAACUGACGCUGAGGCGCGAAAGCGUGGGGAGCAAACAGGAUUAGAUACCCUGGUAGUCCACGCUGUAAACGAUGAGUGCUAAGUGUUAGAGGGUUUCCGCCUUUAGUGCUGAAGUUAACGCAUUAAGCACUCCGCCUGGGGAGUACGGUCGCAAGACUGAAACUUAAGGAAUUGACGNUGAGAGNGCGAGNGCGACGAGGAGAG